ACUUUUCUAACCACCUAAGGAUCCAUUACCCCAACAUCAGUAAGAGGAACCGUUGUAACUUUAAUUUCAGGUUUCACUUAGUCGGUAAGUGGUUGAGUAGCUUUUCCGCCUUUUCCGCUAUGGGCUAACGCAAUCCUUGACGUCGCAGUCAGGUGAGAAGCUAGGUAUUUUGCUCAGAGAGCACAAUGCUAGAGGACUAGCUAAUG
Molecule: long non-coding RNA, 206 nt
Filed under: Hordeum vulgare
Lineage: Eukaryota; Viridiplantae; Streptophyta; Magnoliopsida; Poales; Poaceae
Description: long non-coding RNA (HVUL_LNC020426)
Source: RNAcentral